AUUAAACGCUGGCGGCAUGCCUUACACAUGCAAGUCGAACGGCAGCACGGGGGCAACCCUGGUGGCGAGUGGCGAACGGGUGAGUAAAGCAUCGGAACGUGCCCUGGAGUGGGGGAUAACGUAGCGAAAGUUACGCUAAUACCGCAUAUUCUGUGAGCAGGAAAGCAGGGGAUCGCAAGACCUUGCGCUUUGGGAGCGGCCGAUGUCGGAUUAGCUAGUUGGUGGGGUAAAGGCCUACCAAGGCGACGAUCCGUAGCGGGUCUGAGAGGAUGUUCGCCAUACUGGGACUGAGACACGGCCCAGACUCCUACGGGAGGCAGCAGUGGGGAAUUUUGGACAAUGGGCGCAAGCCUGAUCCAGCCAUGCCGCGUGAGUGAAGAAGGCCUCGGUUGUAA
This 395-nucleotide ribosomal RNA is filed under the name uncultured bacterium. Its description in RNAcentral is "bacterial SSU rRNA". It matches the Rfam family "Bacterial small subunit ribosomal RNA", at positions 29 to 428 of the family's 1533-position model. The record is from RNAcentral.